Molecule: long non-coding RNA, 2360 nt
Filed under: Stylophora pistillata
Lineage: Eukaryota; Metazoa; Cnidaria; Anthozoa; Scleractinia; Pocilloporidae
Description: uncharacterized LOC111341459
Source: RNAcentral
UUUACUUUACUUUUGCAUAACUUAUCGAAACACAAAGUUUUAGAGAAGACUGCGACGGAGUUAAAAAUCCGACCAUUUUAUUCUUUUCUUUUCAUCGACUUAGUGGUAGAAAUGCUAUUUUUUCGUACGGUUUUCUUUUCUUUGCGCGUGGUGUUUCUUAUUUGGGAUUUCGAAACGGACAAGGUCAAGAGUUGGCAUCGUGUUUUCACAUCGAGUUUCACAAUUUGCCUUGAAAACUCAAGGCAGAUUGAGGUUUGGAGUCCAUUGUUGUUCGUUUGAAAGUAAUUUUCAUUUUUUGACGCUCGCUCAAGAUGCUAUGGAGGAAUGAAAUAUAUCGACUGAUGUUAUGUUCUCAGAGCAGUUCGAGAGUACAAGCAAGCCCACGAUGCACGAGGCAAUGGUGUAACAUGUAAAGUCAUGUGGGACUUGGAAAGACUAGUGGUUGAAGGCUGGAAGACAUUUAUAAGGUUUUUUAGACACAACUGGCAAUCUUGAGGUAGAUCAUGAAUUGGUAGCUCCUCCCCAUAGUUCCACAUCAUUAGCGCUACUAGUUGUAUGAGCCUUGGAACUUGUCCAUGAGGUGUACUGGUAACUCCCUAAAUUACUGUUGGAUUGAGUGACCUUUGUCCCUCCAGUGCAGAUGUUCCCUUGGCAGAAGUCUUCCAAUGAAGUUCAAGGUUGCGACCAUCUGCUUUUUGGUGACUUAAUCAUAGCUGAUCUGACUGGAAUUUCAAGAAGCUUUAAAACCAAAUGUCAGAAGGGACUUUGGUAUCUCUGAUCAGCUCGCAUUCCAAACAACUUAGGAAAAGUUAACCACUCAGCUCCAUGAUCUUUGAUUACUUUAAUUGCUUCUUGUAACAUUGGCCUCUGCAUUUGUUUGUGAAAAUGGUUAAUAGCUGCUGGGUCCUUCAAUGACAUCUUCACCCAUUGUGAUGUUAUAGGAAAUAUUCAGAUAGAGACAUCAACAUUUCACUUAAAGUUUCAUGGUGCAUUAGAACAGUUGCUGGCUAUAACCAUACUCGGUAACCACUGGAAAAUCCAAGUUAUACAAGACUAGCUUGGGAUGCCUUCAGAGAUGGGAUGAUAAACUUGUCAAGGAAUUCAAACAAAAACUUGAUUUCAACUUGAAUCAUAGGACUGGAGCUGAGCGUAAUGACAUCUUGCCAAAUAGUGGCUAUCAGAUUUUGGCAAACUUUCAAGGAGAUGUUCAGUAAGCUGUAAACAAGCUUUUCUAUACUUAAGAUACCACUGAAGAGUUUCAUGAUACUAUGUCCACCUUGUGUCAAUGAAUGUUGGAGGAAGGGGUGGCUCUUCACUAAGAAUACCCAGAAAAACAGUCUUAGAUAACUUUGUACUGGCUCAAACACUCAUGCUGGAGCCAAGAUAUUUUAUAUAGUAAUUGUAAAACAAGGGGGUUGCUUAAGUCACCCUUUGCCCCAAACUCGGUAUGGCACAUUAUUCUCAGCAUAGUAUUUAGUACAUGUGGGUAGCAUCCUACAAAAAAACUCCCUUUCCAAGCAUUUUGGUGUUGUUUGCUAAAACACCAUUUACUUUUCCCUUUUGGGUAGAAGCAAUGUCCCCAACCAACCCCGAAACAUUGGUAAUAUCUUAUUCAUUUUUUACAAUAUGGUAAUCCAGAUCAGAUUGGUGUGUUUUCCUGACCUGCUUGCUGUUAGGCUGUUUGCAAGGACAUAAGCUUAAGGCUCACUCUCUAUUGGGCACCAGGUGUGAACACCCACUAUGUGCCUCUCCUCCUUUGUAAGAGUCAUCACUCCAGAGAUGAAAAUCAUACUUGGAAUUUGAAAAGUGCUUGCAUAAAAUUAGUUUGUUGGCUUCACCCAAGAGAACAUUCCAGUCAGAAAUUGUAGUUGGCGAGACAAUGAAGUUUGCUGGGGAGGGGGGGCUACGAUCAAACAAAAAAAUUGAAAAUCAGAUGUAAUGCUACAGCUGUCUUUUGAUAAGAUAACAAAGAUGCAUAUUGUAUGUAUCUGACACAAGCCAUAAACAUGAAAGAUCUUUGGUUGUUUUCAUUGUGACCAUGUGCAAAUGUCUCCACAAGGAAAUACCCCUUUUUGACCACUUCAUUUUUUCCCUGGAAUUUCUGUUUCAGUUUUGAGGAAGCAGAUCUUGUCCCCUUUGCCUUGUUGCUGACUUGUUUUUCCUUUUUUUCACUAGACGUCAGAUUUUUUUGACACUUUUUUAAGUUGAGUUUGGAUCCUCAACACGUCCUUUUUGAAUUGGAUGUUCCUUUCCAUUUACAAAUACUGAAGUUAUGAAAAGGUGACAUAUGAAAAUGGUUAAAUAUAACUGAUUUCACAUGAUAGAGUACGGAAACAAAGAAUACAAAAUAAAAAUUUCCU